GAUGAACGCUAGCUACAGGCUUAACACAUGCAAGUCGAGGGGCAGCAUGGUCUUAGCUUGCUAAGGCCGAUGGCGACCGGCGCACGGGUGAGUAACACAUAUCCAACCUGCCGUCUACUCUUGGACAGCCUUCUGAAAGGAAGAUUAAUACAAGAUGGCAUCAUGAGUCCGCAUGUUCACAUGAUUAAAGGUAUUCCGGUAGACGAUGGGGAUGCGUUCCAUUAUAUAAUAAGCGGGGUAACGGCCCACCUACUCUUCGAUGGAUAGGGGUUCUGAGAGGAAGGUCCCCCACAUUGGAACUGAGACACGGUCCAAACUCCUACAGGAGGCAGCAAUGAGGAAUAUUGGUCAAUGGGCGAGAGCCUGAACCAGCCAAGUAGCGUGAAGGAUGACUGCCCUAUGGGUUGUAAACUUCUUUUAUAAAGGAAUAAAGUCGGGUAUGGAUACCCGUUUGCAUGUACUUUAUGAAUAAGGAUCGGCUAACUCCGUGCCAGCAGCCGCGGUAAUACGGAGGAUCCGAGCGUUAUCCGGAUUUAUUGGGUUUAAAGGGAGCGUAGAUGGAUGUUUAAGUCAGUUGUGAAAGUUUGCGGCUCAACCGUAAAAUUGCAGUUGAUACUGGAUAUCUUGAGUGCAGUUGAGGCAGGCGGAAUUCGUGGUGUAGCGGUGAAAUGCUUAGAUAUCACGAAGAACUCCGAUUGCGAAGGCAGCCUGCUAAGCUGCAACUGACAUUGAGGCUCGAAAGUGUGGGUAUCAAACAGGAUUAGAUACCGUGGUAGUCCACACGGUAAACGAUGAAUACUCGCUGUUUGGGAUAUACUGCAAGCGGCCAAGCGAAAGCGUUAAGUAUUCCACCUGGGGAGUACGCAGGCAACGGUGAAAAUCAAAGGAAUUGACGGGGGCCCGCACAAGCGGAGGAACAUGUGGUUUAAUUUGAUGAUACGCGAGGAACCUUACCCGGGCUUAAAUUGCAGAUGAAUUACGGUGAAAGCCGUAAGCCGCAAGGCAUCUGUGAAGGUGAUGCAUGGUUGUCGUCAGCUCGUGCCGUGAGGUGUCGGCUUAAGUGCCAUAACGAGCGCAACCCUUGUUGUCAGUUACUAACAGGUUCCGAUGAGGACUCUGACAAGACUGCCAUCGUAAGAUGUGAGGAAGGUGGGGAUGACGUCAAAUCAGCACGGCCCUUACGUCCGGGGGUACACACGUGUUACAAUGGGGGGGUACAGAGGGCCGGUACCACGGGAGUGGAUGCCAAUCCCCAAAACCUCUUUCAGUUUGGAAUGGAGUGUGCAACCUGACUCCAAGAAGCUGGAUUCGGUAGUAAUCGCGCAUCAGCCACGGCGCGGUGAAUUACGUUUCCCCGGGCCCU
RNAcentral lists this ribosomal RNA (1363 nucleotides) under uncultured bacterium. RNAcentral's name for it is "partial 16S small subunit ribosomal RNA". It matches the Rfam family "Bacterial small subunit ribosomal RNA", at positions 28 to 1382 of the family's 1533-position model. The record is from RNAcentral.